This 253-nucleotide ribosomal RNA is filed under the name uncultured bacterium. RNAcentral's name for it is "partial 16S ribosomal RNA". It matches the Rfam family "Bacterial small subunit ribosomal RNA", at positions 524 to 776 of the family's 1533-position model. The record is from RNAcentral.
UACGAAGGGAGGUAGCGUUACUCGGAAUUAUUGGGCGUAAAGCGUGCGUAGGCGGUUUUAUAAGUCGGGAGUGAAAGCCUGGGGCUCAACCUCAGAAUUGCUUUCGAUACUGUGAAACUAGAGUGUCAGAGGGGAUAGUUGAAUUCCUAGUGUAGAGGUGAAAUUCGUAGAUAUUAGGAGGAACACCGGAGGCGAAGGCGACUAUCUGGCCGACAACUGACGCUGUUGCACGAAAGCGUGGGGAGCAAACAGG